This 253-nucleotide ribosomal RNA is filed under the name uncultured bacterium. Its description in RNAcentral is "partial 16S ribosomal RNA". It matches the Rfam family "Bacterial small subunit ribosomal RNA", at positions 524 to 776 of the family's 1533-position model. The record is from RNAcentral.
UACGUACCGGACGAACGUUAUUCGGAAUCACUGGGCUUAAAGAGUGCGUAGGCGGCCCAGCAGGUGAGGUGUGAAAUCCCACGGCUCAACCGUGGAAUUGCGCUUCAAACCGCUGGACUGGAGGGAGACAGGGGUGAGCGGAACUGAUGGUGGAGCGGUGAAAUGCGUUGAUAUCAUCAGGAACACCAGUGGCGAAGGCGGCUCACUGGGUCUCUUCUGACGCUGAGGCACGAAAGCUAGGGGAGCGAACGGG